This is a small nuclear RNA of Lepus europaeus (European hare), 106 nucleotides long. The record is from RefSeq and is a predicted model, not a curated record. Lineage: Eukaryota; Metazoa; Chordata; Mammalia; Lagomorpha; Leporidae.
GUGCUCACUUCAGCAGCACACAUUCUAAAACUGUAACGAUACAGAGAAGAUUAGCAUGGCCCUGCACAAGGAUGGCAUGCAGAUUCAUGAAGCAUUCCAUAUUUUU